UUUUGUUUAUAUUGUAAAUUCUUGUGGCAUUUGUUAACAAUUGUUUUCAAAACCUUUAUUUUUCAUCAUCGGAAAGGGUGUUAGUAAGAGCUAAUUCAUUUUCUUUCCUUGGAAUUUGCUAAUGCAUUAACAAUACAAAACUCGAAUGAGUUUUGGAGAGUGUACAUCCUGAAAAGUUUAUUAUGUAUUUCAGUUAUGAUGUAUUAGUGAAUUUUAACAUGAAAAAUUAUGCUGUCUGUGGUCUGACCGUAAUUUGCGGGCUACUUAAGUCUAAUGCAUUGACAAUAUAAAGCUUGUUUGAGUUUUGAUUCUUCCUGAAAAAGUUCACCAUAUUUCAGUUAUGAUGUGUCAGUGAAUUUUAUUAUGAGAAAUUAUGUUGUCUGUGGUCCAGCCCUGAUUUGCAGGCUAUUUUUGUAAGUCAUGUCUACUCAAAUUUGAGGGUUCUGCUCAUUUUGGAUUUCACUGAUAAUAUUUUCAUCAUAAGUAUUUGAUCCUUUAUUUCUGAAAAAAUGUGAAGUGAAAUAAAUUCUUGAUUUGUAUUUGCAUGCAAAA
This 552-nucleotide unclassified non-coding RNA is filed under the name Hevea brasiliensis (rubber tree). Lineage: Eukaryota; Viridiplantae; Streptophyta; Magnoliopsida; Malpighiales; Euphorbiaceae. The record is from RNAcentral.